AGUGAACGCUGGCGGUAGGCCUAACACAUGCAAGUCGAACGGCAGCACAGUAAGAGCUUGCUCUUACGGGUGGCGAGUGGCGGACGGGUGAGGAAUACAUCGGAAUCUACUUUUUCGUGGGGGAUAACGUAGGGAAACUUACGCUAAUACCGCAUACGACCUACGGGUGAAAGCAGGGGAUCUUCGGACCUUGCGCGAUUGAAUGAGCCGAUGUCGGAUUAGCUAGUUGGCGGGGUAAAGGCCCACCAAGGCGACGAUCCGUAGCUGGUCUGAGAGGAUGAUCAGCCACAUUGGAACUGAGACACGGUCCAGAGUCCUACGGGAGGCAGCAGAGGGGAAUAUGAGGCAAUGGGCGCAAGCCUGGUCCAGCGAUACCGCGUGGGUGAAGACGGCGUCCGGUUUGUGAAGCCCUUUUGCUGGGAAAGAAAAGCUGCCGGUUGAUACCCAGCUGUUCUGACGGUACCCAAAGAAGAAGCACCGGCUAACUACGUG
Molecule: ribosomal RNA, 492 nt
Filed under: uncultured bacterium
Lineage: Bacteria
Description: partial 16S ribosomal RNA
Rfam family: Bacterial small subunit ribosomal RNA
Source: RNAcentral